Molecule: non-coding RNA, 113 nt
Filed under: Photobacterium proteolyticum
Lineage: Bacteria; Pseudomonadati; Pseudomonadota; Gammaproteobacteria; Vibrionales; Vibrionaceae
Source: RNAcentral
AGUUAUCGGCGUAGGGUACAGAGGUAAGAUGUUCUAUCUUUCAGACCUUUUGUUUCACGUUAUUGGAUUUGGCUGAUUCAGCCGCCCUGGUCUUUUGACCAGGGCGUUUUUUA